GACUUGACAUCUCCUGAAUUACUCUUAAUCGAGGAAGUCCCUUCGGGGACAGGAAGACAGGUGGUGCAUGGUUGUCGUCAGCUCGUGUCGUGAGAUGUUGGGUUAAGUCCCGCAACGAGCGCAACCCUUAUUGUUAGUUGCUACUAUUAAGUUAAGCACUCUAACGAGACUGCCGCGGUUAACGUGGAGGAAGGUGGGGAUGACGUCAAAUCAUCAUGCCCCUUAUGUCUAGGGCUACACACGUGCUACAAUGGCUGGUACAACGAGCAGCAAACCCGCGAGGGGGAGCAAAACUUGAAAGCCAGUCCCAGUUCGGAUUGUAGGCUGAAACUCGCCUACAUGAAGUUGGAGUUGCUAGUAAUCGCGAAUCAGCAUGUCGCGGUGAAUACGUUCCCGGGUCUUGUACACACCGCCCGUCACACCAUGAGAGCCGGUAACACCCGAAGCCCGUGAGGUAACCGUAAGGAGCCAGCGGGCGAAGGGGGGAUUGGUGAUUGGGGUGAAGUCGUAACAAGGUAGCCGUAGGAGAACCUGCGGCUGGAUCACCUCCUUUCUAGGGA
RNAcentral lists this ribosomal RNA (560 nucleotides) under Clostridium botulinum C. RNAcentral describes it as "bacterial SSU rRNA". It matches the Rfam family "Bacterial small subunit ribosomal RNA", at positions 978 to 1533 of the family's 1533-position model. Lineage: Bacteria; Bacillati; Bacillota; Clostridia; Eubacteriales; Clostridiaceae. The record is from RNAcentral.